Molecule: ribosomal RNA, 425 nt
Filed under: uncultured bacterium
Lineage: Bacteria
Description: partial 16S ribosomal RNA
Rfam family: Bacterial small subunit ribosomal RNA
Source: RNAcentral
GUGAGGAAUUUUGCGCAAUGGGGGCAACCCUGACGCAGCGACGCCGCGUGGAGGACGAAGUCUUUCGGGAUGUAAACUCCUGUCAGUGGGGACGAUAAUGACGGUACCCACAGAGGAAGCACCGGCUAACUCCGUGCCAGCAGCCGCGGUAAGACGGAGGGUGCAAGCGUUGUUCGGAAUUACUGGGCGUAAAGCGUAUGUAGGCGGCAAGUUAAGUUCAAUGUUAAAGCCCACGGCUCAACCGAGGAGAUGCAUUGAACACUGGCUAGCUAGAGGGUGUUAGAGGAAGACGGAAUUCCCAGUGUAGCGGUGAAAUGCGUAGAUAUUGGGAGGAACAUCGGUAGCGAAAGCGGUCUUCUGGGACAUACCUGACGCUGAGGUACGAAAGCGUGGGGAGCAAACGGGAUUAGAUACCCGUGUAGUCC